GAUCCUGGCUCAGAUUGAACGCUGGCGGCAGGCCUAACACAUGCAAGUCGAACGGUAACAGGAAGAAGCUUGCUUCUUUGCUGACGAGUGGCGGACGGGUGAGUAAUGUCUGGGAAACUGCCUGAUGGAGGGGGGAUAACUACUGGAAACGGUAGCUAAUACCGCAUAACGUCGCAAGACCAAAGAGGGGGGACCUUCGGUCCGUCUUGUCCACUCGGAUGUGCCCACGAUGGGAGUUAGCUAGUAGGUGGGGUAACGGG
RNAcentral lists this ribosomal RNA (260 nucleotides) under uncultured bacterium. RNAcentral's name for it is "partial 16S ribosomal RNA". It matches the Rfam family "Bacterial small subunit ribosomal RNA", at positions 15 to 264 of the family's 1533-position model. The record is from RNAcentral.